AUUCAGACACUAUUGGAAUAAGAGCGUUUGAACGUUUUCUAUUCUUUUAUGUUAUAACCAUUGCUGAUUUGUGCAUUCUUGUUUGGCUCUAAAAUCUUGCUAAACGCGUGAUAGUUCGUUGUCUAACAUUAGAUAGGCCACACAAAACCCAAUCCCAGUUCACCAAGUCGUUGUGGAGUAGGCUAUGUCCGUGGUUGCACUUCAACAGAUGAUUGCACCUUUCUUUUACUGUCUGUCUAUGGAUUGCAAGGUGGGACCAGAAUGGCUCUAUGGCUGGCAGUGAUGUUCUCCCCGGAUUGUUGGUGUGAUUUGGUUUUAAGUAGCCUAGAAAUUCCCCAUUAAAUAAAGUAUUUUGGUGCUGAUUAA
Sardina pilchardus (European sardine) is the source of this 366-nucleotide long non-coding RNA. RefSeq lists it as uncharacterized. Lineage: Eukaryota; Metazoa; Chordata; Actinopteri; Clupeiformes; Clupeidae. The transcript is spliced from 2 exons. The record is from RefSeq and is a predicted model, not a curated record.